UCCUACGGGGCGCAGCAGUGGGGAAUAUUGCACAAUGGGGGGAAACCCUGAUGCAGCGACGCCGCGUGAAGGAAGAAGUAUUUCGGUAUGUAAACUUCUAUCAGCAGGGAAGAAAAUGACGGUACCUGACUAAGAAGCCCCGGCUAACUACGGGCCAGCAGCCGCGGUAAUACGUAGGGGGCAAGCGUUAUCCGGAUUUACUGGGUGUAAAGGGAGCGAAGGCGGUUUAGCAAGUCAGAAGUGAAAGCCCGGGGCUCA
RNAcentral lists this ribosomal RNA (258 nucleotides) under uncultured bacterium. RNAcentral's name for it is "partial 16S ribosomal RNA". It matches the Rfam family "Bacterial small subunit ribosomal RNA", at positions 337 to 611 of the family's 1533-position model. The record is from RNAcentral.